CCUACGGGUGGCAGCAGUGAGGAAUAUUGGUCAAUGGACGAGAGUCUGAACCAGCCAAGUAGCGUGAAGGAUGACUGCCCUAUGGGUUGUAAACUUCUUUUAUAUGGGAAUAAAAUGUUCCACGUGUGGGAUUUUGUAUGUACCAUAUGAAUAAGGAUCGGCUAACUCCGUGCCAGCAGCCGCGGUAAUACGGAGGAUCCGAGCGUUAUCCGGAUUUAUUGGGUUUAAAGGGGGCGUAGGUGGGUUGUUAAGUCAGAUGUGAAAGUUUGCGGCUCAACCUUAAAAUUGCAGUUGAAACUGGCAGUCUAGAGUACAGUAGAGGUGGGCGGAAUUCGUGGUGUAGCGGUGAAAUGCUUAGAGAUCACGAAGAACACCGAUGGCGAAGGCAGUUCACUGGACUGCAACUGACACUGAGGCUCGAAAGUGUGGGUAUCAAACAGGAUUAGAUACCCCUGUAGUC
This 460-nucleotide ribosomal RNA is filed under the name uncultured bacterium. RNAcentral's name for it is "partial 16S ribosomal RNA". It matches the Rfam family "Bacterial small subunit ribosomal RNA", at positions 338 to 795 of the family's 1533-position model. The record is from RNAcentral.